UUAAGCGACUAAGCGUACACGGUGGAUGCCCUGGCAGUCAGAGGCGAUGAAGGACGUGCUAAUCUGCGAUAAGCGUCGGUAAGGUGAUAUGAACCGUUAUAACCGGCGAUUUCCGAAUGGGGAAACCCAGUGUGUUUCGACACACUAUCAUUAACUGAAUCCAUAGGUUAAUGAGGCGAACCGGGGGAACUGAAACAUCUAAGUACCCCGAGGAAAAGAAAUCAACCGAGAUUCUCCCAGUAGCGGCGAGCGAACGGGGAGCAGCCCAGAGCCUGAAUCAGUGUGUGUGUUAGUGGAAGCGUCUGGAAAGGCGCGCGAUACAGGGUGACAGCCCCGUACACAAAAAUGCACAUGCUGUGAGCUCGAUGAGUAGGGCGGGACACGUGGUAUCCUGUCUGAAUAUGGGGGGACCAUCCUCCAAGGCUAAAUACUCCUGACUGACCGAUAGUGAACCAGUACCGUGAGGGAAAGGCGAAAAGAACCCCGGCGAGGGGAGUGAAAAAGAACCUGAAACCGUGUACGUACAAGCAGUGGGAGCACGCUUAGGCGUGUGACUGCGUACCUUUUGUAUAAUGGGUCAGCGACUUAUAUUCUGUAGCAAGGUUAACCGAAUAGGGGAGCCGAAGGGAAACCGAGUCUUAACUGGGCGUUAAGUUGCAGGGUAUAGACCCGAAACCCGGUGAUCUAGCCAUGGGCAGGUUGAAGGUUGGGUAACACUAACUGGAGGACCGAACCGACUAAUGUUGAAAAAUUAGCGGAUGACUUGUGGCUGGGGGUGAAAGGCCAAUCAAACCGGGAGAUAGCUGGUUCUCCCCGAAAGCUAUUUAGGUAGCGCCUCGUGAAUUCAUCUCCGGGGGUAGAGCACUGUUUCGGCAAGGGGGUCAUCCCGACUUACCAACCCGAUGCAAACUGCGAAUACCGGAGAAUGUUAUCACGGGAGACACACGGCGGGUGCUAACGUCCGUCGUGAAGAGGGAAACAACCCAGACCGCCAGCUAAGGUCCCAAAGUCAUGGUUAAGUGGGAAACGAUGUGGGAAGGCCCAGACAGCCAGGAUGUUGGCUUAGAAGCAGCCAUCAUUUAAAGAAAGCGUAAUAGCUCACUGGUCGAGUCGGCCUGCGCGGAAGAUGUAACGGGGCUAAACCAUGCACCGAAGCUGCGGCAGCGACACUAUGUGUUGUUGGGUAGGGGAGCGUUCUGUAAGCCUGUGAAGGUGUGCUGUGAGGCAUGCUGGAGGUAUCAGAAGUGCGAAUGCUGACAUAAGUAACGAUAAAGCGGGUGAAAAGCCCGCUCGCCGGAAGACCAAGGGUUCCUGUCCAACGUUAAUCGGGGCAGGGUGAGUCGACCCCUAAGGCGAGGCCGAAAGGCGUAGUCGAUGGGAAACAGGUUAAUAUUCCUGUACUUGGUGUUACUGCGAAGGGGGGACGGAGAAGGCUAUGUUGGCCGGGCGACGGUUGUCCCGGUUUAAGCGUGUAGGCUGGUUUUCCAGGCAAAUCCGGAAAAUCAAGGCUGAGGCGUGAUGACGAGGCACUACGGUGCUGAAGCAACAAAUGCCCUGCUUCCAGGAAAAGCCUCUAAGCAUCAGGUAACAUCAAAUCGUACCCCAAACCGACACAGGUGGUCAGGUAGAGAAUACCAAGGCGCUUGAGAGAACUCGGGUGAAGGAACUAGGCAAAAUGGUGCCGUAACUUCGGGAGAAGGCACGCUGAUAUGUAGGUGAAGUCCCUCGCGGAUGGAGCUGAAAUCAGUCGAAGAUACCAGCUGGCUGCAACUGUUUAUUAAAAACACAGCACUGUGCAAACACGAAAGUGGACGUAUACGGUGUGACGCCUGCCCGGUGCCGGAAGGUUAAUUGAUGGGGUUAGCCGCAAGGCGAAGCUCUUGAUCGAAGCCCCGGUAAACGGCGGCCGUAACUAUAACGGUCCUAAGGUAGCGAAAUUCCUUGUCGGGUAAGUUCCGACCUGCACGAAUGGCGUAAUGAUGGCCAGGCUGUCUCCACCCGAGACUCAGUGAAAUUGAACUCGCUGUGAAGAUGCAGUGUACCCGCGGCAAGACGGAAAGACCCCGUGAACCUUUACUAUAGCUUGACACUGAACAUUGAGCCUUGAUGUGUAGGAUAGGUGGGAGGCUUUGAAGUGUGGACGCCAGUCUGCAUGGAGCCGACCUUGAAAUACCACCCUUUAAUGUUUGAUGUUCUAACGUUGACCCGUAAUCCGGGUUGCGGACAGUGUCUGGUGGGUAGUUUGACUGGGGCGGUCUCCUCCUAAAGAGUAACGGAGGAGCACGAAGGUUGGCUAAUCCUGGUCGGACAUCAGGAGGUUAGUGCAAUGGCAUAAGCCAGCUUGACUGCGAGCGUGACGGCGCGAGCAGGUGCGAAAGCAGGUCAUAGUGAUCCGGUGGUUCUGAAUGGAAGGGCCAUCGCUCAACGGAUAAAAGGUACUCCGGGGAUAACAGGCUGAUACCGCCCAAGAGUUCAUAUCGACGGCGGUGUUUGGCACCUCGAUGUCGGCUCAUCACAUCCUGGGGCUGAAGUAGGUCCCAAGGGUAUGGCUGUUCGCCAUUUAAAGUGGUACGCGAGCUGGGUUUAGAACGUCGUGAGACAGUUCGGUCCCUAUCUGCCGUGGGCGCUGGAGAACUGAGGGGGGCUGCUCCUAGUACGAGAGGACCGGAGUGGACGCAUCACUGGUGUUCGGGUUGUCAUGCCAAUGGCACUGCCCGGUAGCUAAAUGCGGAAGAGAUAAGUGCUGAAAGCAUCUAAGCACGAAACUUGCCCCGAGAUGAGUUCUCCCUGACUCCUUGAGAGUCCUGAAGGAACGUUGAAGACGACGACGUUGAUAGGCCGGGUGUGUAAGCGCAGCGAUGCGUUGAGCUAACCGGUACUAAUGAACCGUGAGGCUUAACCU
This 2902-nucleotide ribosomal RNA is filed under the name Escherichia coli. Its description in RNAcentral is "bacterial LSU rRNA". It matches the Rfam family "Bacterial large subunit ribosomal RNA". The record is from RNAcentral. Lineage: Bacteria; Pseudomonadati; Pseudomonadota; Gammaproteobacteria; Enterobacterales; Enterobacteriaceae.